ACGGAAGGCAGCAGUGGGGAAUAUUGCACAAUGGGCGAAAGCCUGAUGCAGCGACGCCGCGUGAGUGAAGAAGUAUCUCGGUAUGUAAAGCUCUAUCAGCAGGGAAGAAAAUGACGGUACCUGACUAAGAAGCCCCGGCUAACUACGUGCCAGCAGCCGCGGUAAUACGUAGGGGGCAAGCGUUAUCCGGAUUUACUGGGUGUAAAGGGAGCGUAGACGGUUUGGCAAGUCUGAAGUGAAAUGCGGGGGCUCAACUCCUGAACUGCUUUGGAAACUGUCGAACUAGAGUGCAGGAGAGGUAAGUGGAAUUCCUAGUGUAGCGGUGAAAUGCGUUGAUAUUAGGAGGAACACCAGUGGCGAAGGCGGCUUACUGGACUGUAACUGACGUUGAGGCUCGAAAGCGUGGGGAGCAAACAGGAUUAGAUACCCUGGUA
RNAcentral lists this ribosomal RNA (434 nucleotides) under uncultured Lachnospiraceae bacterium. RNAcentral describes it as "partial 16S ribosomal RNA". It matches the Rfam family "Bacterial small subunit ribosomal RNA", at positions 341 to 792 of the family's 1533-position model. The record is from RNAcentral. Lineage: Bacteria; Bacillati; Bacillota; Clostridia; Lachnospirales; Lachnospiraceae.